Molecule: ribosomal RNA, 293 nt
Filed under: uncultured Pseudomonadota bacterium
Lineage: Bacteria; Pseudomonadati; Pseudomonadota
Description: uncultured proteobacterium partial 16S ribosomal RNA
Rfam family: Bacterial small subunit ribosomal RNA
Source: RNAcentral
UGUGCUAAUACCGCAUAAUCUCUCAGGAGAAAAGCAGGGGAUCGCAAGACCUUGCGCUUUAGGAGCGGCCGAUGCCUGAUUAGCUUGUUGGUAAGGUAAAAGCUUACCAAGGCUUCGAUCAGUAGCUGGUCUGAGAGGACGACCAGCCACACUGGGACUGAGACACGGCCCAGACUCCUACGGGAGGCAGCAGUGGGGAAUUUUGGACAAUGGGGGAAACCCUGAUCCAGCCAUGCCGCGUGAGUGAAGAAGGUCUUCGGGUUGUAAAGCUCUUUCAGCCGGAACGAAACGGU